This 86-nucleotide transfer RNA is filed under the name Candidatus Cytomitobacter primus. It matches the Rfam family "tRNA". Rfam says of the family: Transfer RNA (tRNA) molecules are approximately 80 nucleotides in length. Their secondary structure includes four short double-helical elements and three loops (D, anti-codon, and T loops). The record is from Rfam by way of RNAcentral. Lineage: Bacteria; Pseudomonadati; Pseudomonadota; Alphaproteobacteria; Holosporales; Holosporaceae.
GGAUAGAUGGCUGAGUGGUCGAAAGCACCGGUCUUGAAAACCGGCAGAUGUUUUUCAUCUCGUGGGUUCGAAUCCCACUCUAUCUG